CCAUGAGGGUGGAACCAUGAUGAUGGAUCCAUGAGGAUGGAACCAUGAGGAUGGAACCAUGAGGGUGGAACCAUGAGGGUGGUACCAUGAGGGUGGAACCAUGAUGAUGGAACCAUGAGGGUGGUACCAAGGGAAUGGAACCAUGAUGAUGGAUCCAUGAGGAUGGAACAAUGGGGAUGGAUCCAUGAGGCAGCCUGAGGUUAGAUCUUCAACACUACUGACCAAACACCAUCACUCUGGCCCUAGCAUGUGUGUGUUAACGUGUUUUAACGUGUGUGUGUGUGUGUGUGUGUGUGUGUGUGUGUGUGUGUGUGUGUGUGUGUGUGUGUGUGUGUGUGGUAUCGUGGUGUGAAAAAUAAUUGUUACUUUUUUUGCAAUUUAAAAACGAUUAAAAGUUGCCGGGGACAACAUUUCCCUGGACCCUAGGCUACUGAAAAUGUUCCCGGACCCUAGGCUACUGAAAAUGUUCCCAGACCCUAGGCUACUGAAAAUGUUCCCAGACCCUAGGCUACUGAAAAGGUUCCCAGACCCUAGGCUACUGAAAAUGUUCCCAGACCCUAGGCUACUGAAAAUGUUCCCAGACCCUAGGCUACUGAAAAUGUUCCCAGACCCUAGGCUACUGAAAAUGUUCCCAGACCCUCGGCUACUGAAAAGGUUCCCAGACCCUAGGCUACUGAAAAUGUUCCCAGACCCUAGGCUACUGAAAAGGCUACUGAAAAUGUUCCCAGACCCUCGGCUACUGAAAAUGUUCCCUGACCCUAGGCUACUGAAAAUGUUCCCCGGACCCUAGGCUACUGAAAAUGUUCCCCGGACCCUCCGAUUUACAAAUUAAUCAGUGUGUGUGUGUGUGUGUGUGUGUGUGUGUGUGUGUGUGUGUGUGUGUGUGUGUGUGUGUGUGUGUGUGUGUGUGUGUGUUUGGGCAGAUUAGAAGUGUUGGGUCCUUCCUGGUAUGAAAAAGGGUGAAAGGUCACAAACCCCGGUUUGGGCAGAAUAGAAGUGUUGGUUCCUUCCUGCUAUGAAAAAGGGUGAAAGGUCACGAACCCGGGUUUGGGCAGAAUAGAAGCGUUGGUUUCUAUUAUUGAUGUUACUAUGUGGACCGGACUGGGUCUGUGUUUUUUAUUUUAUUUACCACAACUAGAACCCGUGGAACCGUCUAGACGUGUUGUUUCCUUGUGAUGAGAUUGCUGUGGAACAGGAUUAUUAUUAUUAUUGUUAUUGUUAUUAUUAUUAUGCAUCUGAUCAUCUAUUACUCUAAAUGACGACGAGCAAUAAAGUUGAGAUCC
Molecule: long non-coding RNA, 1283 nt
Organism: Oncorhynchus tshawytscha (Chinook salmon)
Lineage: Eukaryota; Metazoa; Chordata; Actinopteri; Salmoniformes; Salmonidae
Source: Ensembl